RNAcentral lists this small nuclear RNA (279 nucleotides) under Sorex araneus (European shrew). RNAcentral describes it as "7SK RNA (ENSSARG00000019372.1)". It matches the Rfam family "7SK RNA". Rfam says of the family: 7SK was discovered as an abundant small nuclear RNA in the mid-70s but a possible function has only recently been suggested. Lineage: Eukaryota; Metazoa; Chordata; Mammalia; Eulipotyphla; Soricidae. The record is from RNAcentral.
AGGCAGAUCUAACUGCUACAUGUUACCCCAUUGGUUGCCAGGAUUCAUUCAGCUCAUCCGACAGGUGUCCCCUUCCUCCACCAUUACUCUGCAGGUGUCCCUCUCGAUGCUGUAUGCUCAGUUGAAGAGGACAGAUUUCCUUGAACAGAGAUGUACCAUUCUUCUGUCUGGGUCAUGAGUAGUUGCACUCUCAAAAUGCUUAACCUCUGAGCUUGAGAGAUAGGACAGAGGUUAAGAUACUUAGGCACUUGCCUUGCACAUUGCUGACCCUGGUUCAAU